This 371-nucleotide unclassified non-coding RNA is filed under the name fungal sp. Its description in RNAcentral is "partial internal transcribed spacer region". Lineage: Eukaryota; Fungi. The record is from RNAcentral.
AAGUCGUAACAAGGUUUCCGUAGGUGAAGCGGAGGAUUAGGACGUAUCCAAACUAACCCCCUGUGAACCUUCAAUGUGCUCACACGCUGAGGCAAUCCUGGUAAAUCAUCGCCGAGCAGUUUUGAUUCUGCUGGGACUUCCUCAAAGCGUGUGCAUGUUGCGCGAGGCAAGCGGCUGGCAAUCCCAAACAGUUAAUGUCUGAAAGUGUAUUAGCUGCAAGGAUGACGCAGUAACGAUCGUUGGAGGCCGACACAGCGACGACGGGUCCCCGGGCGCAAGCCUUUAUCACCACUUGAUGCAUGACAGACAGCGCUUAAUUGUGCAGCGACCAAAAACCGAAUAACUGUUAACACAGAAUAUCUUGAUUCUCU